UCAAGCUACAAAGAGCGCAAGGGGAAUGCCUUGGCACUGGGAGCCGACGAAGGACGUAGCGAUCUACGAUAAGCCACGGUGAGCCGAAAGCAGGCAUCGACCCGUGGAUUUCCGAAUGGGGCAACCUGGCUGAAUAGAACUCAGUCAACAUACGGUGAAUAAAAUAGUCGUAUGUAGGGAACCGCCUGAACUGAAACAUCUAAGUAGGGCGAGGAAAAGAAAUCAACCGAGAUUCCGCAAGUAGUGGCGAGCGAACGCGGAAGAGGCCAAACCGAGAGUAGUAAUACUUUCGGGGUUCGGACAGCGGACGGUAUGCUGAAGGUUAGCAGAAGGACAUGGGACGGUCCACCAAAGAGAGUGAAAGUCUCGUAUGCGAAAACUGAAAGCAGCCAGCUGAAUCCAGAGUACCGCCGGACACGUGAAACCCGGUGGGAAUAUGGGGGGACCAUCCUCCAAGCCUAAAUACUACCCAGUGACCGAUAGCGUAUAGUACUGUGAAGGAAAGGUGAAAAGAACCCCGGGAGGGGAGUGAAAAGAACCUGAAACCUUGUGCUUACAAGCACACAAAGCACGUCAACGUGUGAUGUGGUACCUUUUGUAGAAUGGUCCGGCGAGUGAAUGUAACUGGCGAGGUUAAGUUCUUAAGGAACGGAGCCGAAGCGAAAGCGAGUCUGAAUAGGGCGUCUUAGUCAGUUGUAUUCGACCCGAAACCGGGUGACCUAUCCAUGUCCAGGAUGAAGUUAAGGUAAAACUUGAUGGAGGUCCGAACCCACGGUCGUUGAAAUGCCCGGGGAUGAGAUGUGGAUAGCGGAGAAAUUCCAAUCGAACCCGGAUAUAGCUGGUUCUCUCCGAAAUAGCUUUAGGGCUAGCCUCGACUGAACAUUACCGGAGGUAGAGCACUGAAUGGGCUAGGGGCCGAGAGGUUACUGAACCCUAUCAAACUUCAAAUGCCGGAAAAUGAUAGUCGGGAGUCAGACUGCGUGAGAUAAGUUUCGUAGUCGAAAGGGAAACAGCCCAGACCCACAGCUAAGGUCCCAAAGUACGGUUAAGUGGAAAAGGAUGUGGAGUUGCACAGACAACCAGGAUGUUGGCUUAGAAGCAGCCACUCAUUAAAAGAGUGCGUAAUAGCUCACUGGUCGAGUGACUCUGCGCCGAAAAUUUAACGGGGCUAAAUCGUACACCGAAGCUUGGGAUGUAUCUAUGAUACAUGGUAGGAGAGCGUUGAAUGCGGGGUGAAGUCAGAGCGAAAGCGCUGGUGGACUGCAUUGAAGUGAGAAUGCCGGAAUGAGUAGCGAGAUUUAUGUGAGAAUCAUAAAGGCCGAAAGACUAAGGUUUCAGAAGGAAGGUUCGUCCGCUUCUGGUUAGCCGGGAGCUAAGGUGAGGCCGAAAGGCGUAGCCGAUGCACAUACGGUGGAGAUUCCGUAGCCGUCGAAAUAUUUAAGCAAAGGGACACUUAUGAAGGACAUGACCCGGGCGAUGGUAGCCCCGGGCGUAAGGGACCGAAAACAAGUAGGGAAGCAUGUUUGGAUUAAGGCGAGAAAAGCUUUGUGUAUAUAUGAGACGUCCGUACCGCAAACCGACACAGGUAGUCAGGAAGAGGAUUCUAAGGCCAACGGGAGAAGGGUAGUUAAGGAACUCGGCAAAUUGACCCCGUAACUUCGGGAUAAGGGGCGGUGCGCAAGCACCCGCAGUGAAUAGGUCCAGGCGACUGUUUAUCAAAAACACAGCUCUCUGCUAAAUCGAAAGAUGACGUAUAGGGGGUGACACCUGCCCGGUGCUGGAAGGUUAAGAGGAGGAGUGCAAGCUCCGAAUUGAAGCCCCAGUAAACGGCGGCCGUAACUAUAACGGUCCUAAGGUAGCGAAAUUCCUUGUCGGGU
RNAcentral lists this ribosomal RNA (1877 nucleotides) under human gut metagenome. Its description in RNAcentral is "bacterial LSU rRNA". It matches the Rfam family "Bacterial large subunit ribosomal RNA", at positions 3 to 1977 of the family's 2925-position model. The record is from RNAcentral.